This 1779-nucleotide long non-coding RNA is filed under the name Danio rerio (zebrafish). Its description in RNAcentral is "lncRNA (ENSDARG00000117644.1)". The record is from RNAcentral. Lineage: Eukaryota; Metazoa; Chordata; Actinopteri; Cypriniformes; Danionidae.
AAUGAAGAUGUCAAUGUGAGGCGAGAUUGUGUGAUGAGCUGUCUGAGCAUCUACCUCAAUGAAGACCUGGAACCACUUGGUAAAGAAUAUGUGGUAUGUAUCAGAAUAGUGUGCCAGUAAUUUUUCCAUCUAGAUAAUAUGGAUUGUUCAUGAGAAUGGAAUGGACAUUAGGACACAUUGACCACCAGUAUUUCAACAUUGAGUCCAUUGGGUUGUUUUGAAUAAAAAAAAUCAUGCAAGGUAAAUGGUGGUAGAGCUGUCACUCUGAGGGAAUUAAAUCUGCUUGGUCCAGAGGAACCUGAAGAUGAAGUUGUCUGGGUUCUGGCACCCACAUGCCCCUUCUCCGCCAGAAACAACAAUCCUCGCCUAAACAACAAGGAUGCAUGUUCUGGACUGUCUGCUUACGAACUCAAGCGCCUUGAGAACAUCACGCACAAGGAAGCCUUCUUGUCGUCUCUGAAGAUAUGGCAAGUAGUGGAAGAUCUGAGGCAGUCAGUGAAGCCAAAGCCCAAUGUCAAAAGGUUAAUGGCUUCAUUGGAAGAAAAAUCUCUGCAGUUUCCCUGGAAAUCCCUCCGUUCUAAAAUAGAAAACCUCACCCCAAGUGAAGGGUUGACCCAUAAUCAAGACAUUGAAUCCAGAGAGGCAGAGGAAGACAUGGCAGGAAAGACCAUGGGCAUCUACAAAGUACAAUCAAAGGAUCAUGGUCAAGGUGAUGGACGCUUCACUGAUGUCCGUGUUGUGCUGGAAGGUGUGGAGGUUCUCCACAACCUGUAGAGUGUCACUCAUGCAUGGGUUAUGUUAUAUGGCCUGAUCUACGCGCUCAAUUUGAACUACCCUAAAAGCCUGAAGUGUACAUUUGAGGUGUACCAGAAAAUCCUGAUGGACCUGGACUCAACCAAGCUUUCCCCGAAAGUACAGACACUGAAACUGAAAUUGCUCCAGUGGCUAAAAAUAAUAACUUACACAGCCCCUACCCAUUUUUUUUCACAUUGUGCUCCAACCCAGAGAUAUGUUAAAAUGAUUUCCUAGUUCUAUAAUGAUAUGUUAAUUAGCAACUGAAAAUGGAUCUCUGAGUACAGUUUUAUUUUUUAUUUAUUUAUUUUUUUGGGUGUCCAAGCAGUCAUGUGAUGUUCGAGUGUGGCUGUGUAAGUGGGUUCAUAUGGAUGGUUUCCUAAAUGUUGGCUGAUGUUAACUUGGCUCAAUCCAGAGUUUUGUAUAAAAGAUAAAUAUAAAUAAAUCUGGAAUUUUCCAGUUGGUCUAAUUCAAUGUGAUGCAUUUUUUGAUUUGGUUUAGUAUAUAAGCAUACAUUAAACAUGAUUCAAAUAAAUGUUAUUUAUAUUUUUUAGUUACCCCGAUUUAGUUCUCUUAAUUAUUAUGCAAUUUAUACAAUAAACUUUGUGUAUUUUAAAUAAAUACACUUUUUAUUAUUAAUUUAGAAUAAUUACACUUUACAUGAACUAAUUACGUAAACCUGAGGAUUAUGCAUUUAAAAUAAAUAGGUUUUAUUAUCCUUAUGAAAAUAAAUAGUAUAAAGUUUAUUUGGUAGAUUUGUGUUAAAAUUAUGAAAAAAUAUAAAUGGUAAUUUGUCAUGUAAUAAAAUUACAUAAAUCUUAAUUUUUGGAUGAAAUAUUUCUGUGAGUGUGGUAGUAAAAAACAGCUUGAACUCGAAACACUGUAGAGAAAUCAAACUGAUUGUAUAACUGACAUAUAGAAAGAUAGUUUCUAAUUGCUUGAAAUUUAAUGUGAUAUACACUAAUGUUCAAAAAAUUAUUAUUGUUA